RNAcentral lists this transfer RNA (73 nucleotides) under Camelus bactrianus (Bactrian camel). It matches the Rfam family "tRNA". Rfam says of the family: Transfer RNA (tRNA) molecules are approximately 80 nucleotides in length. Their secondary structure includes four short double-helical elements and three loops (D, anti-codon, and T loops). The record is from Rfam by way of RNAcentral. Lineage: Eukaryota; Metazoa; Chordata; Mammalia; Artiodactyla; Camelidae. RNAcentral also lists the same sequence under 1 other name.
GAGGGUGGAGCUCAGUGGUAGAGCAGGCGCUCAGCAUGCAUGAGGUCCUGGGUUUGAUCCCCAAGUACCUUCA